ACUACGGGAGGCUGCAGUGAGGAAUAUUGGUCAAUGGGCGUAAGCCUGAACCAGCCAAGUCGCGUGAGGGAUGAAGGUUCUAUGGAUCGUAAACCUCUUUUAUAAGGGAAUAAAGUGUGGGACGUGUCCUAUUUUGUAUGUACCUUAUGAAUAAGCAUCGGCUAACUCCGUGCCAGCAGCCGCGGUAAUACGGAGGAUCCGAGCGUUAUCCGGAUUUAUUGGGUUUAAAGGGUGCGUAGGCGGCCUUUUAAGUCAGCGGUGAAAGUCUGUGGCUCAACCAUCUAAGUGCCGUUGAAACUGGGGGGCUUGAGUAUGUUUGAGGCAGGCGGAAUGCGUGGUGUAGCGGUGAAAUGCGUAGAUAUCACGCAGAACCCCGAUUGCGAAGGCAGCCUGCC
RNAcentral lists this ribosomal RNA (395 nucleotides) under uncultured bacterium. Its description in RNAcentral is "partial 16S ribosomal RNA". It matches the Rfam family "Bacterial small subunit ribosomal RNA", at positions 338 to 730 of the family's 1533-position model. The record is from RNAcentral.